GACGAACGCUGGCGGCGUGCUUAACACAUGCAAGUCGAACGGAAAGGCCCUGCUUUUGUGGGGUGCUCGAGUGGCGAACGGGUGAGUAACACGUGAGUAACCUGCCCUUGACUUUGGGAUAACUUCAGGAAACUGGGGCUAAUACCGGAUAGGAGCUCCUGCUGCAUGGUGGGGGUUGGAAAGUUUCGGCGGUUGGGGAUGGACUCGCGGCUUAUCAGCUUGUUGGUGGGGUAGUGGCUUACCAAGGCUUUGACGGGUAGCCGGCCUGGGAGGGUGGCCGGCCACAUUGGGACUGAGAUACGGCCCAGACUCCUACGGGAGGCAGCAGUGGGGAAUAUUGCACAAUGGGCGGAAGCCUGAUGCAGCAACGCCGCGUGCGGGAUGACGGCCUUCGGGUUGUAAACCGCUUUCGCCUGUGACGAAGCGUGAGUGACGGUAAUGGGUAAAGAAGCACCGGCUAACUACGUG
This 468-nucleotide ribosomal RNA is filed under the name uncultured bacterium. Its description in RNAcentral is "partial 16S ribosomal RNA". It matches the Rfam family "Bacterial small subunit ribosomal RNA", at positions 28 to 507 of the family's 1533-position model. The record is from RNAcentral.